AAAAUGGAUCCAGUAUUAAAAAUUUGAAGGGCUUUUCAAAAUUGUUAGUAGAAAAAUAGGUCUAUCGGAAUACCAUAGGCCUAAAUCUGAUAGGCCUAUGGGAAUUUAAAGAGAAAAUGGGUAAAUUUGUAAAAGGAAAUGGAUCGAGAAGAGAAAAUUUGUGGGGCUUUUCAAAAUUGUUAGUAGAAAAAAUAGGUCUAUCAGAAUACCAUAGGCCUAAAUCUGAUACCUAUGCAAAUUUAGGAGAAAAAAAAUUAGUUUGUGACAUUUUGUAAAAAAAAUUAGUACAAAAAAAGCAGGCCUAUAAGACUAGCAUAGGCCUAAAUCUGAUAGACCUAUGUAGUUCUAGAAAAAAAACAGCAAAAUUACCUAGAAACAAUGAUACAAAAAUACUAAAUAAUAACAAUAACAAGGGUAUUUCAUAUAAUAGUGUAGGCCUAUGAGACUAGCAUAGGUCUAAAUCUGAUAGGUCUAGGAAGUUGUAGGGAAAAAUGCAAAAUAUAAAACAGAAUUUAUAUAUAGAUUUGAAUUUUUUGUUAUUUUUGUAGGUUUAAAAAAUUUGCACAAAAGGUAUAGGCCUAUCAGACUAGCAUAGGUCUAAAUCUGAUAGGCCUAUGGAGUUGUAGAAGGAAAAAUGAAAAAAAAAAUAAUAUAAAGAUGUUUGAAAUUUUUGUAGCUUAAAAAAUAAUACAAAAAGGUAUAGGCCUAUCAGACUAGCAUAGGUCUAAAUCUGAUAGGCCUAUGGAGUUGUAGAAGGAAAAAUGCAAAAAAAAUUAAUAUAAAGAUGUUUGUCAUUUUUGUAGCUUAAAAAAAAUAAUACAAAAAGGUAUAGGCCUAUCAGACUAGCAUAGGUCUAAAUCUGAUAGGCCUAUGGAGUUGUAGAAGGAAAUAUGCAAAAAAAAAAAAAUUAAUAUAAAGAUGUUUGUCAUUUUUGUAGCUUAAAAAAAACUAAUACAAAAAGGUAUAGGCCUAUCAGACUAGCAUAGGUCUAAAUCUGAUAGGCCUAUGGAGUUGUAGAAGGAAAUAUGCAAAAAAAAAAUUAAUAUAAAGAUUUGUCAUUUUUGUAGCUUAAAAAAAACUAAUACAAAAAGGUAUAGGCCUAUGAGACUAGCAUAGGUCUAAAUCUGAUAGGCCUAUGGAGUUGUAGAAGGAAAUAUGCAAAAAAAAAAAAAAUAAUAUAAAGAUGUUUCUGUCAUUUUUGUAGCUUAGAAAAAAAUAAUACAAAAAGGUAUAGGCCUAUGAGACUAGCAUAGGCCUAAAUCUGAUAGGCCUAUGAAGAGACAAAAAUUACCUGGGAAAACAAUGACAAAAUUACAAAAAACACAAAAUAAUAACAAUAAUAAGGCUCUGACAAAAAAUAUGCCUACCUCAUUACCAUAGGCCUAAAUCUACUAAAUUCUGAAGAAAAUGGGUAAAUUAGUGAAAGAAAAUGGACUGAGUAUAGAAAAUGGGAGGGACUUUACAAAAUCUUAAUAGAAAAAAAUUGUAGGCCUGAGACUCAGAUAGGCCUAAAUCUUGUAGGCUUAUGGAGUUUUUGAGGGAAGACAAAAAAAUACGAAGAAAAAUAUUAAAAUACACAAAAAAUUACCUGAGAGAGAGAGAGAGAGAGAGAGAGAGAGAGAGAGAGAGAGAGAGAGAGAGAGAGAGAGAGAGAGAGAGA
Molecule: long non-coding RNA, 1660 nt
Organism: Portunus trituberculatus (swimming crab)
Lineage: Eukaryota; Metazoa; Arthropoda; Malacostraca; Decapoda; Portunidae
Exons: 2
Source: RefSeq, a predicted model, not a curated record